AUGCAACUCUGGACGCUUGAAGGCGCAGUUGAGGCCCUCGGAGACAAGGUGAUCGUCGACCGUCUAGACAGCCGGACCUACAAGCGCGCCGACACCAAGAUGUUCGCGUGCUGGGUCUGGGUCUGGAAUCUCUCCUUCAUCCCGACCAAGCGGACGAUCUGGAAGCAUGCGAGGGGGGCGGUCCGCGUGGAGGAGAUGCACGGCUACUCGCCACCGAGCCGCGCGGUUCCUCCGCCGAAGCUGCUGCAGUACAACCUGCUGCUGCAUGUUGAUCGGGUGGAGGACUGG
This 288-nucleotide ribosomal RNA is filed under the name Triticum aestivum (bread wheat). RNAcentral describes it as "partial small subunit ribosomal RNA". Lineage: Eukaryota; Viridiplantae; Streptophyta; Magnoliopsida; Poales; Poaceae. The record is from RNAcentral.